This 1484-nucleotide ribosomal RNA is filed under the name Lactiplantibacillus plantarum. Its description in RNAcentral is "bacterial SSU rRNA". It matches the Rfam family "Bacterial small subunit ribosomal RNA". Lineage: Bacteria; Bacillati; Bacillota; Bacilli; Lactobacillales; Lactobacillaceae. The record is from RNAcentral.
AACGCUGGCGGCGUGCCUAAUACAUGCAAGUCGAACGAACUCUGGUAUUGAUUGGUGCUUGCAUCAUGAUUUACAUUUGAGUGAGUGGCGAACUGGUGAGUAACACGUGGGAAACCUGCCCAGAAGCGGGGGAUAACACCUGGAAACAGAUGCUAAUACCGCAUAACAACUUGGACCGCAUGGUCCGAGUUUGAAAGAUGGCUUCGGCUAUCACUUUUGGAUGGUCCCGCGGCGUAUUAGCUAGAUGGUGAGGUAACGGCUCACCAUGGCAAUGAUACGUAGCCGACCUGAGAGGGUAAUCGGCCACAUUGGGACUGAGACACGGCCCAAACUCCUACGGGAGGCAGCAGUAGGGAAUCUUCCACAAUGGACGAAAGUCUGAUGGAGCAACGCCGCGUGAGUGAAGAAGGGUUUCGGCUCGUAAAACUCUGUUGUUAAAGAAGAACAUAUCUGAGAGUAACUGUUCAGGUAUUGACGGUAUUUAACCAGAAAGCCACGGCUAACUACGUGCCAGCAGCCGCGGUAAUACGUAGGUGGCAAGCGUUGUCCGGAUUUAUUGGGCGUAAAGCGAGCGCAGGCGGUUUUUUAAGUCUGAUGUGAAAGCCUUCGGCUCAACCGAAGAAGUGCAUCGGAAACUGGGAAACUUGAGUGCAGAAGAGGACAGUGGAACUCCAUGUGUAGCGGUGAAAUGCGUAGAUAUAUGGAAGAACACCAGUGGCGAAGGCGGCUGUCUGGUCUGUAACUGACGCUGAGGCUCGAAAGUAUGGGUAGCAAACAGGAUUAGAUACCCUGGUAGUCCAUACCGUAAACGAUGAAUGCUAAGUGUUGGAGGGUUUCCGCCCUUCAGUGCUGCAGCUAACGCAUUAAGCAUUCCGCCUGGGGAGUACGGCCGCAAGGCUGAAACUCAAAGGAAUUGACGGGGGCCCGCACAAGCGGUGGAGCAUGUGGUUUAAUUCGAAGCUACGCGAAGAACCUUACCAGGUCUUGACAUACUAUGCAAAUCUAAGAGAUUAGACGUUCCCUUCGGGGACAUGGAUACAGGUGGUGCAUGGUUGUCGUCAGCUCGUGUCGUGAGAUGUUGGGUUAAGUCCCGCAACGAGCGCAACCCUUAUUAUCAGUUGCCAGCAUUAAGUUGGGCACUCUGGUGAGACUGCCGGUGACAAACCGGAGGAAGGUGGGGAUGACGUCAAAUCAUCAUGCCCCUUAUGACCUGGGCUACACACGUGCUACAAUGGAUGGUACAACGAGUUGCGAACUCGCGAGAGUAAGCUAAUCUCUUAAAGCCAUUCUCAGUUCGGAUUGUAGGCUGCAACUCGCCUACAUGAAGUCGGAAUCGCUAGUAAUCGCGGAUCAGCAUGCCGCGGUGAAUACGUUCCCGGGCCUUGUACACACCGCCCGUCACACCAUGAGAGUUUGUAACACCCAAAGUCGGUGGGGUAACCUUUUAGGAACCAGCCGCCUAAGGUGGGACAGAUGAUUAGGGU